This 67-nucleotide microRNA precursor is filed under the name Medicago truncatula (barrel medic). RNAcentral describes it as "miR5297 stem-loop (mtr-MIR5297)". The record is from miRBase by way of RNAcentral. Lineage: Eukaryota; Viridiplantae; Streptophyta; Magnoliopsida; Fabales; Fabaceae.
AAUGCAGGAUAAUUAUCGGAUACUAUCCUGAUGCGUAUCGGGAAGUAUCGGAUAAUUAUUUUUUAAA